Molecule: long non-coding RNA, 4256 nt
Filed under: Sus scrofa (pig)
Lineage: Eukaryota; Metazoa; Chordata; Mammalia; Artiodactyla; Suidae
Description: lncRNA (ENSSSCG00040073544.1)
Source: RNAcentral
CACCUGGGCCAUCCGGGGAGCUGAGAUACAAUGGCUCCUACCCUCGGGGUGUCCACGGUUGAGGGGCUCAACCCGAAUCACCAGGGAACUCCUUCCCAUGUGAGAUUAGGCAGCAGUGCAGCUAAUCGAGGCCAACACCUUUGUGUUGAAAAACAGUGGACCUGGCAUUCCUGCUGUGGCAUAAUGGGUUAAGGAUCCAGUGUUGCCACAGCUGUAGUGUAGGUCGCAGCUGUGGCUCAGAUUUGAUCCCUGGGCUGAGAAUAACACUAUGCCACGGGUUCAGCCAAAAAAGGAGAGAAAAAAACAAAAAACAAAAUAAUGGACCUUGAACAUGGUGGGUGUUAGGGGCAGUUGAGUAUCUGCACAUAACUUACAGCCAACAUUCUACAUGCAGAUCUAAUUCCUCCCAUCCUCGGAUCCAACAGUCUGGAUGUGUGGUCCUGCAGUAUUUACUUUGGAAAAAAUCCCCAUGGGCAUGGCUCUGCACAGCUCAACCCUGUGUUGUUCAAGGGUCAACCGUAGUUACUUUCCUAGAGAAGCAAUGUCUAUCAAUACAGCAGUGAUCUGGAAUUUCUACUGUGGCUCAGCAGGUUAAGAACCCAACUAGUAUCCACGAGGAUGUGGGUCCGAUCCCUGGCCUCCCUCAGUGGGUUAAGGAUCUGGUGUUGCCGGGAACUGUGUGGCUCCUGUAGCCUCUAGGAGCCCACAGGCCAUGAUGCACAUUUUCUCAUGGGUUGUAUCUAAUAACCUCAUUGACCAAACUUGAAAAAUAUCUUGCACCUACUUCCUGCCUUCUUCCUCGUAAGUGCGCUAGCUGCUCUCCGAUACAUUCUGACACUUACUGAAAUUAGACUUCAACACACACUGAUAUACAAUUCCCACAGCAGGAGAGAAAUGCUAAAAAUUAUGCGUAGCAUUCACUGACAUAUACACACACACACGUCACUAGUGUGUGUGUGUGUGUGUGUGUGUGUGUGUGUUUAAUCCAGGGCACUUUAACAAUCACAAUAUUUAUUCCUUUGUAUGAAAGCACUGGAUUUCUUUAAAAUUAACUGAAAGAACUGAAAAGCUCCAAACAGGAUCAAAUCCUUAAAUUUCUUCUCCAAAGUAGCAGGUAAUAUAUCACAUACAGGCGGGUGUUCUGUCGAUUCCAUUCUCUUCAUUUUUGGAAGGCUUUUUAUGUUCUUCUUUGGGAAAUCAUUUCUGCCUUUCCUAUUUACAUAAAGGGCCCAGGCUGAAACAUUCCCAAGGUUUACAAUAAAAGCAUGCAUUUCCCAUUAGUUUAUUCAUUCAUCCAAAUGCCACAGUCCCCUGAACCCGCCCAUUUCACAGAGGCUGAAUCAGGCCCUCCCAAGGCUUCUCAAACACUCUGUGUGGCUCCAGCAGAGCUCUGACUGCACCUUAGACCACCUGUCCCCUAUCCCCCAGUGAGCUGGGAAACAAAUCAAGUAUAAAGACCUUUUUCCCUUUUUUUGCCACAGAACCUCCUCAGUUCCUGCAACUCCAUAGGUGGGUGCUCGAGAAAGGUAGAAAAACCCUAACUGACUCUAUUUCCAUCACCAGCGACUGUACUACUUGCAACCAGGUGCUGUCAGUCCUCCCCUGGAGGAGUAAUUCCACUUCUGGACAUUUAGAGAAAAGACAGGCAGAGGUCAGGCAACCAGUGCGUGCGCAAUUUAGAAUGUACGUGCUGGGGUCGGGGAGGCAGACACGUGCGGAGCACAGAAAGGUCCAGAAGUUCUUUCCAGUGCCUCGAGCUCCUGAGAGUACUAGAAAGAGCCAGAACACCCCCUUGCCACCUGCACUCUAGAGCAUAGGCAUUCAGCCACACCUCCACCUUCUGCCCAGAAUGUCACCUGCCAGUGGUAGGGGGCGGGGGGGAUGUUACCUCAAACAUCGGACCAGCCUGCAGGGAGAGAGAAACUACUGAUGCCACAGCUUUCUUUCCUUUUCAUUCACGGACAAGGCCUAUUCAAAGCAUGCUAUUUGUUGGGAAGGGGCGGGCGUUAAAAUGCUUAUGAGAUGUAAAAAGCUUAGAUACACUUCCUGGCAACUGGUAAGCACUGUCUCUCCUAGCUAUUAAUAUCGUUUUCUAUUUGGCGGGAACAAAGGUAAAAGGUAAACCAUGCCAUUUAGCUCAGAGUUAUCCUCCUGAUCCUCUGACCAGACCACUGUGUCAUUAUCCACAUGUGCAAAUGAACAGAGCUGGGAAAUCAAAAUCCUAAAACAAGCGGGCACUCUCCCCUGUAAGUUUAGAGCAACAGCUUUGCUUAUGUGGAGGCGGCAAAUUAAAGAGGCACUGCUUCUUCUGAACUCCCUAGAAACCAUCCAGGGGUGCCCACCCCUCCUUUAAAACCUGCCUCUAGGAGUUCCCGUCAUGGCGCAGUGGUUAACGAAUCUGACUAGGAACCAUGAGGUUGCAGGUUCGAUCCCGGCCCUUGCUCAGUGGGUUAACAGUCCGGCGUUGCCAUGAGCUGUGGUGUAGCCUGGGAAGCUCCAUAUGCCGCAGGAGUGGCUCUAGAAAAGGCAAAAACAAAAAAACAAAAAAAACCCUGCCUCUAACCUGGAGAGGGGGUGGCAGGAGAGAAAGAGGAAGAAGAAUGUUCCCCUUUCACCCCAUCAGAGAGCCUUUUCUCUUUAGUAACAAGGGGAGUUGAAAUGAGACCAUAUUCUGGGCACUUUUGGAGUCUUUGAAGCCAAACUGCCUGUGUUCACCAGCCAAGCCUCACUGUUUAAUCUUCAUUGACCAGUAUCUGAGCAUCAUGUACUCGUGUGUCGGCUGAUAGAUACGCAGAGCAGAGAGGAAGUAACGAACCCCACUCUCAGGGACCCUAAUUGCUUUUUUUAAAAGAGGUGAACGUAUGUAAAGAUUCAGUAUCUCCCCAAUCUGCAGCAAGGCCAUGGCACUCCAGAAAACAUCUGGCAGAGAAUCCCACUUUUUAAGGGGCUAUCCCCUCCUCUGAAAAUCUAAUAAACCACAGCUCCUGGAAAAAGGAACACAGAUGAAGUUUGCAUGUAUAUUCCCGCAGGUUAGUGAGCCCAGGGUUAGGAAAGUGAGUCUGAAGAACACAGGCAUCCUCACUUCUGGAAGGACUGCCAGCCUCCCUUCAUUAGCUGCUCUCAGAUAUACACCACUCCCUGCCUUUUAAGGAAAUCGAGCUCUUUGAAAUGAGCAGAACUUUCAGGGUCAAAGGGCACAGUUUUGAAGUAGGCCUGCUAGUGAACAAAACCUUACCUAAAUUAUUACACUCAUUUUUUUUUAAAGUGUACAUUAUGAAAAAGUUAUUUUAUGAUUCGUAAACAUUCACAGAAAUCAGAACGAGCAGAGUGAAGCCCCACUCCGCUGCAAAGCAGUGGAUUCCUCUGAUGAAUAAAUCAGAAUGAUUCACAAUGAGUGUAAUUAGCUUACUCGACACGUAAGCGAAGGCUUUUGCUGGGCUGGAGCAGGACCCUUGAAAAGGAGUCUAUGUUCUGAGCUGUUUCAAACACAGCGCCUCCUUCCCAUUUGACUUACCUUCCUGUGUCAACACUAAGUGGCCUAAUUUGUGAAUAAAGAGCCAAUGGGUAUCAACAAGACCAGCUUCAGAAGACAGGACAUUCUUUGGUAUUCACUGAGUAGGACUUUACCAAGUACGGGAUGGCUUCAGAUUCCACUUCAGGUUGGUCAAAAGUACUCUACCCUUCCGUGGUGACACCUGUGUCCCUACUGGGCACCUCACAAACACAGGUGAGCAAUCACCUUCAAGAUACAGGACUGGGUUUUCUGGGUCACUAAGAGCAGGUUGACAUCCGGGCACUUCAGGACUCCGCCCACUCAACUGAACUCCCAGGUGUCUCUUUUGCAGCAAAGGGACACCACCACUCCCAGGCAGAGUAUCCUGGGUGGCAGCCUUCUAAACAUUGCCUCAUGCUUCAUCCCCAAGAUGUAACUGUGAGCCAAGGAGUUGUUUUAUUUCAUUUUGGCCACCCAUGCAGCAUAUGGAAGUUCCUGGGCCAGGGACAGAUUCUGAGCCAGAGCUGUGACCUAUGCCACAGCUACAGCAAUGUGGAUCCUUAAGCCACUGUGCCACAGCGGGAACUCCAAGGAGGUGGUUUAGACCAAGGGGGCUCCCAAAGAAUGUCUUGCUUAGGAAGUUCAAGCCACUCACCCCUUCAUGCUGGAGGACAUGAGGUCUGGGGGCAGCAAAGAGAGGACAAAAAGAGGGGCCUUCUGCAGCUACUUCUCAUUUCUCAUAAUAGGAUUUAUGAAAAUCAGC